GAGGGGAAAGAUAUAUAAAGUUUUGAAAAUUUUAUUUGGCUAUAGCCUCUUUUUA
This 55-nucleotide transfer RNA is filed under the name Philometroides sanguineus. Its description in RNAcentral is "tRNA-Ser". The record is from RNAcentral. Lineage: Eukaryota; Metazoa; Nematoda; Chromadorea; Rhabditida; Philometridae.